RNAcentral lists this ribosomal RNA (118 nucleotides) under Tropilaelaps mercedesae. Lineage: Eukaryota; Metazoa; Arthropoda; Arachnida; Mesostigmata; Laelapidae. The record is from RNAcentral.
GCUAUCGGCCAUACCACGUUGAGUACGCCGGUUCUCGUCCGAUAUCCGAAGCUAAACAACGUUGGGCCCGGGUAGUACUUGGAAGGGAGACCGCCUGGGAACACGGGUGUUGAUAGCA